AAAUUUUGGCAGUUUCAUGGAGAGACCAUUAUGAUGAAGGUGGUUCUCUCAGGUUGAGGCUACCCCUUUGCACUUUGCAGGCAUCAACAAAGCCAAUGUCCAUAAGUGCAAAAUACUUGACUGCAAAAUUUGUGGAAGUGAGGGACUGCGCUCAUGCUCAUUUUGG
Rhincodon typus (whale shark) is the source of this 166-nucleotide small nuclear RNA. RefSeq annotates it as U1 spliceosomal RNA. The transcript has a single exon. The record is from RefSeq and is a predicted model, not a curated record. NCBI's taxonomy places the organism in Eukaryota, Metazoa, Chordata, Chondrichthyes, Orectolobiformes, Rhincodontidae.